AUUGAACGCUGGCGACAUGCCUUACACAUGCAAGUCGAACGGCAGCACGGGUGCUUGCCCCUGGUGGCGAGUGGCGAACGGGUGAGUAAUACAUCGGAACAUGUCCUGUAGUGGGGGAUAGCCCGGCGAAAGCCGGAUUAAUACCGCAUACGAUCUACGGAUGAAAGCGGGGGCCCUUCGGGCCUCGCGCUAUAGGGUUGGCCGAUGGCUGAUUAGCUAGUUGGUGGGGUAAAGGCCUACCAAGGCGACGAUCAGUAGCUGGUCUGAGAGGACGACCAGUCACACUGGGACUGAGACACGGCCCAGACUCCUACGGGAGGCAGCAGUGGGGAAUUUUGGACAAUGGGCGAAAGCCUGAUCCAGCAAUGCCGCGUGUGUGAAGAAGGCCUUCGGGUUGUAAAGCACUUUUGUCCGGAAAGAAAUCCUUGGCCCUAAUACGGUCGGGGGAUGACGGUACCGGAAGAAUAAGCACCGGCUAACUACGUG
This 486-nucleotide ribosomal RNA is filed under the name uncultured bacterium. Its description in RNAcentral is "partial 16S ribosomal RNA". It matches the Rfam family "Bacterial small subunit ribosomal RNA", at positions 30 to 507 of the family's 1533-position model. The record is from RNAcentral.